Molecule: ribosomal RNA, 253 nt
Filed under: uncultured bacterium
Lineage: Bacteria
Description: partial 16S ribosomal RNA
Rfam family: Bacterial small subunit ribosomal RNA
Source: RNAcentral
UACGUAGGGUGCGAGCGUUGUCCGGAAUUAUUGGGCGUAAAGAGCUCGUAGGUGGCGGGUCACGUCGGGUGUGAAAGCCCGGGGCUUAACUCCGGGUCUGCAUUCGAUACGGGUUUGCUGGGGUCCGGCAGGGGAGACUGGAAUUCCUGGUGUAGCGGUGAAAUGCGCAGAUAUCGGGAAGAACACCCGUGGCGAAGGCGGCUCUCUGGGACGGUACUGACGCUGAGACGCGAAAGCGUGGGAGCGAGUCCGG